CCGUGCAGUGCUCCCCUGCCUCCUGCGGGCCUGGGCAGAGAUGUGCGGUACCGCGGGGGCAUCUUCGGGUGCCACCCGCUGUCCCCUGGUGCCUACCAUGCAGCCGGGCACUCGGGCAUCACCACAGCAGAUGGGAGGACCACCCAGUGCCCAGGCACUUCCGGUUUUGCCGCGUCCUGUGCUGCCUCCUGCCCACAGCGCUUUCUCCAAGUGGAACUUGGCAGGAACAGUCCGGGCAGCCCCACUGUGUUUAUUUCAAAGCUGUCUUUCAAGGCUAACGGGACCCACACUUGUCUGCAGACAGAGGUGCUGAGCCCAGGGACCACAGGGAACGGCUGCACGGAAGCCCAGGCGGCCGCAUGCACCUGUCUGCCCAUCUCUCAGCCCCCGUCCUGUCCAAGAAGCGGCGCCUGGGAGCACGGCCGCCACCGCAGCCCCCCAGCCCAGCUCGGCCUCUCUGUCUCCACUUGGGAAGCCAGGGCUGCAGCCCAACCAGAAGCCGUCUCUCGGAGGGGCGUGCCCGCUGUCCCCCAGCCCCGGGCUGGCCCCUCGAGCGCGCCCAGCCUUCACGGAAGGGCAGUCAAACCAUGGAACCCAAAGUAAUAAAGGUGUGACUCAGCGGCCACGCCGCACGGCUGCCUUUGAUGUUGCGCUUGAAUUCCGCAGCUCUGGAAGCCGUGCGAAGCUUGCAAUGUCCGUGAGCUGCAGGGUUGGUUGGUUUCUCUCAUUUGGCGAAAAUUCCAGGCUGUUGAGCAGUCACACUCCGUUAGAGCCUCAACACACGCUCCGGGGAAAAAUGAUUUCAAAAGCAAAACUGGGCGUGUGUGUGUGUGCGCGUGUGUGUGUGUGAUAUUUCAAAAACUUUCAUUAACUGUGUAAUCUGCAGCUGUUCAACUCUUUUUAAAAAGAUUUUUUUAUUUGUUUGAAAGGCAGAGUUACAGAGAGAGAGGGAGAGAUAGAGAGAGAGAGGUCUUCCAUCCGCUGGUUCUCUCCCCAAACUGCUGGAGCUGCGCCGAUCCGAAGCCAGGAGCCAGGAGCUUCCUCUGGGUCUCCCACACAGGUGCAGGGGCCCACGGCCUUGGGCCAUCUUCUACUGCUAUCCCAGAUCAUUAACAGGGAGCUGGAUUGGAAGUGGAGCAGCCGGGACUCGAACUGGCGCCCAUAUGGGAUGCCAGCACUAAAGGCUGCAGCUUUACCCACUACACCACGGCGCUGGCCCCAGCUGUGCAACUCUUAACAUUUUGUCAACAAGAGACCUGAGGCGUGACAGGGGUCCCACAGAUUGUCUUACCUGGUGACACCGUAGCUGUCUUAGUUUGUGUAAGACACACUCUAUGGUGUUUGCAUAAUGAGCAGACCAGAACGUGACG
RNAcentral lists this long non-coding RNA (1370 nucleotides) under Oryctolagus cuniculus (rabbit). RNAcentral's name for it is "lncRNA (ENSOCUG00000030352.1)". The record is from RNAcentral. Lineage: Eukaryota; Metazoa; Chordata; Mammalia; Lagomorpha; Leporidae.